Molecule: transfer RNA, 74 nt
Filed under: Brockia lithotrophica
Lineage: Bacteria; Bacillati; Bacillota; Bacilli; Thermicanales; Thermicanaceae
Description: tRNA-Gly
Rfam family: tRNA
About the family: Transfer RNA (tRNA) molecules are approximately 80 nucleotides in length. Their secondary structure includes four short double-helical elements and three loops (D, anti-codon, and T loops).
Source: RNAcentral
GCGGGUGUAGUUCAAUGGUAGAACACCAGCUUCCCAAGCUGGAAACGCGGGUUCGAUUCCCGUCACCCGCUCCA